RNAcentral lists this long non-coding RNA (714 nucleotides) under Junco hyemalis (dark-eyed junco). RNAcentral describes it as "lncRNA (ENSJHYG00000010826.1)". Lineage: Eukaryota; Metazoa; Chordata; Aves; Passeriformes; Passerellidae. The record is from RNAcentral.
CGGAGCUCCGCGGGCUGGGCAGCGCUCCCGGGUGCGCCCUGCGGCAGGCGGGGCUCCGCGGGGCGCGUGUGGAGGGCGGCUGCGACCCCUCCGUGCCCGGGCUCCCCGAGGGGCUGCGGCCCCGGCCCUUCCUGCUGCCGCUGUGGGCUGCCUGCUGCAGGGGAGAAAAGGCUGAAGCUGCCAGAAAAAAACUGUCAGGGCCAGGCUGAGGAGGGAAGAUGUGGAAAGGAAUCGUUGCAGGCUGCAGAAUGGGAGAUGAGCAUUUGGACCUGAGACAUCCACAUUCAGGGAGUGAACUCUUCCUGGCUGCAGGAACAAGAAUGUAUGAUUCUGUGCGCAGUGAGGUGAGCAAUUAAUGCUGCAUCGAUGUGUUCAUUAACAUUAGUUUAUUAACCAAGUGUAAGGACCCUGUACUCUCACUAACAGCUUCAGCUUGGCUUUUAGAAUAUUUGCAGUGCUAAUCCUAAACAGCAGAGGAUCAGAUAAUGCUGUGGUAUAAAAAUAACUCAAUAUAAGUUUCUGCAAUAGAAUAAUGUACAUUAAAUAUAUACAAUAUAGAAAGCAAUAAGAUGCCUUCCAUAUAAUAUUAUUUAUGCAAGUAUAUAGAAUUACCCGUUUGUAGUUUUGAAUGUGUAGGUAGAUUGAGGAGUUUAGGAACAAAGACAAUUUAAUGUUGUCAUAAAAAGGAAAAAUAAAACCCCUUUUUUCUGAGCA